GACGAACGCUGGCGGCGUGCUUAACACAUGCAAGUCGAACGGAAAGGCCCUGCUUGCAGGGUACUCGAGUGGCGAACGGGUGAGUAACACGUGGGUGAUCUGCCCUUCACUUCGGGAUAAGCCUGGGAAACUGGGUCUAAUACCGGAUAGGAGCCAUUUUUAGUGUGAUGGUUGGAAAGUUUUUUCGGUGUAGGAUGAGCUCGCGGCCUAUCAGCUUGUUGGUGGGGUAAUGGCCUACCAAGGCGGCGACGGGUAGCCGGCCUGAGAGGGUGGACGGCCACAUUGGGACUGCGAGACGGCCCAGACUCCUACGGGAGGCAGCAGUGGGGAAUAUUGCACAAUGGGCGCAAGCCUGAUGCAGCGACGCCGCGUGGGGGAGGACGGCCUUCGGGUUGUAAACUCCUUUCGCUAGGGACGAAGCGUUUUGUGACGGUACCUAGAUAAGAAGCACCGGCUAACUACGUG
This 465-nucleotide ribosomal RNA is filed under the name uncultured bacterium. Its description in RNAcentral is "partial 16S ribosomal RNA". It matches the Rfam family "Bacterial small subunit ribosomal RNA", at positions 28 to 507 of the family's 1533-position model. The record is from RNAcentral.